Long non-coding RNA from Magallana angulata, 423 nucleotides. RefSeq lists it as uncharacterized. Lineage: Eukaryota; Metazoa; Mollusca; Bivalvia; Ostreida; Ostreidae. The record is from RefSeq and is a predicted model, not a curated record. The transcript has 3 exons.
AGUGAUUACGCGUUUUGAAUGAAAGCAGACGGAUCUUCAACAUGAGCGACGGAUUAAUUAAGCAUGGAACAUGCAAGAAGAUAAUGCAGCAGAUGUAGUUCAAAGUAAUGGUAUUAAAGAAUUAUGCAGUGAAACCAGAAUAUUGGACAGCCCUAAAGAUAGUGAUCAUUGAACAUAAAUUUCAUACAGAGGUACAACUCUUCUGCCACCGAAGGGGCUAUAUGUGAAGCCUGAAGAAUUGCCACCAAGAAGUAUUGUCACCAAGACACUCUGGGUUUGUAGAAAAUAAUCAUUUAAAGGAUGGAGCAUUUUACCUACCAUGCAAUAAAUGCACAUUGCAAUAUAUGGAAUACAAGUGAAAUCAACAUGAGCAGAGGCAAGGAAGAUGCAACAAAGGAAGAUUUCAUAAAGAACAUAUUGAUA